GAAGGGAGGGCUGUUUUGAGCUGUUUUUGCCUGAAAAGGGAGGAGGGAGGAGGAAGAGGAGGGAGAGAACUGAGCUGUCUGAUCUGCACUGGUCUCUGCAAUAGAGAGGAGAGAGGAAGGAGGAGAAGAGAGGAGAGGAUAGUGAGAUGAACAGAGAUAAAGGAAUACUGGACUAACCCAUGAGGUGAACGAGGUGAGUGCGGAGAGCCAGGUGAGGAAUGAGAUAGAGACCAGGUUUCAACAGCUCCAGUCCCGCCUCUCCACCGAAACCAUGGAAACAGAGGAGGUCACCAAGACACUCAAAGCUACCCUCGCCGCGCUAUUGGACAGUAUGUGUGACAGUGACAGUAAUCCCACCCCUGUCCUGCCAUUCAGCCUAUCACACGACUCCAUGGGAGCCGCCUCCGCCUCCAAACUAGCCCUUGCCAAGCGGAGAGCCAAUCAGCAGGAGACAGAGACAUUCUACUUUAUGAGUUCAGGGCAGCAGAUCCCUGUGGUGGUUGAAAGCUGCAUUCGCUUCAUAAAUCUUCACGUCUGCACCAUGAGGGGAUAUUCCGUGUUCCAGGGUCCCAGAGAGAGGUCAACCACAUCACAGAUGCAUUCGAGAGAGUGAACCAAUCACAGAGGAGGGAGACGGAGAGACUGAACAACUCCACAGUGAGGAUGAAUGGGAGGUGGUGGCCAUGUUUGAUCACACAGCUCGGUCUGCUACUGAGCUGUCCUUCAAACAGGGGGAGUCCCUCCUCCUGCACAGCAAGGCCUCUUCUGAGUGGUGGAGAGGGGAAGUGGGAGGGGUUAGGGGCCUCAUACCACACAAAUACAUCAGCGUGUUGGAAGGAUAUGUGAUGCCAGUAAGGGGCCAGGAAGGUGAGGUGUCCCUCUCUGAUCAUCUGGAACAGCUCCUCUUGGUCUCCGUCCCUUCUCCGGAAUGGAGGGAACCUACAGAGCAGGAUGUGGACUAUCACCCCCAACGCCCACAGGUCUACCGGCAGACCAUACCCUGCAGAGAGAGAGGUAGAGGGAUGGAGAGAAAGAGAGAGAGGUGAACAGAGACAAAGAUUGUGAUAGAGGGCAAAUGCAUGCUUCGUGGAGAGACAGAAACAGAGUGAUGGAAGAAAAAAGAAACACAAGAAAGAAAGAAACAACCAGAAACAAACGGACCAGAGGAAAGAACGAGAGGGGAGGUGAGAGAGGCGGUAUCUGGGAUGGAAUCCCACCUCUGUCCAGCCGGUGUCUUUGUCCCGGUCUCCCUAAGGGUCCGUCACCGCGGUUACGGCUAAGACCCGGUCUGUUACCAGGGUUACUGCUAAGACUGCAGCCCCCAGCGAUGGGUCUCAUCCAUGAUACUCAUCCUGGAUCUCCCUUACAGAAAAAAAACAGGCUUCUUGGCGAACAGUUUGUGGCAAAUCUUUAGCCAUUUGCCAAAAACUACUAUUAUUACCGGAGAGACUUGUGAACUUCUGACAAACAAUUUUAAGAAACUUGUGUCGAACGUUCUACUGUUGUAUGAAUGUAUGAAUAUGAAAAUUAGGUCAAGUUUUUGGGUUACUUUGUGUAUUAACACAAAAUACAACUUGAAAUCAUCAGCAUGGUAAUGAAUAAAAGAGCAAAGACAGGAUAUUUCCCAAAUAAAAUAUGUAUUUAAUAGUUUUAUGUAGCUACAACAUUUACAUGAGAGAAAUGUGAACACUGUGUGGAUGUAGACCUUGUGAUGUUUAAAGAGGCAACUACAGAAUUUACAUGAGCCAAGAGAUAACUGAGCUAUAGCUUUCAACAUUGGAAUUUUAAAAGAUAGUUAACAAAAGUGAAAUAAUUCAAACUAAAAACUAAAGCAAACCCACUUCAGAUCCAUUUCCUUUUUUAGUCAACUUUGGAGAUGGUGGCUCAGUGGAAGACCUUGUCCAAAGCUUGUUGUGUGCAUGUACUGAAACAAUCAGAAAACACAAAACAAAAAAUAACAUUAGGAUACUGAAAAUUAAACGUUAUAUUAAAAUGUCUGCGCUCACUACCUAAGUCGCUCUGGAUAAGAGCGUCUGCUAAGUGACUGACAUGUAAAAUGUAAAAGUUAGACUCAGAGGCUAAUGGGUGGGCUUGGUUUUGGGAAAAUGGGAUCAAUUGUUACAAAAGUUGCCUUGAUGUUGCUAUGCUUCUCACUGUAACUUGUCAUUCUAUACAUUUUUUUCCAGCAAGAUAACAAUGUUUCUGCCUUGUUAAGUAAACAAACGAUGCAACUAGCAUAAACCGGGUCUUAGGCCAGGUUUUUCCUCCAGCCAAGCCUCAACACAAUUGAUUGAAACUAAUCAAUUAAUUAUGAUCUUUAAUCUAGACUGGGGAAUUCACUAUUAAGAGACAGUUGUCUACUAGUUGUCUCUUCUUCCUGACUCAGGUGUAUAAAGGCUUGGGUGGAAGAAAAGCAACAUAACAUUGAGUCGCGUCUAAUAUUAUUUUUUCUAAAAUGAUUUACUGUUAACUUACAUCUCAAAGCCCUGAAUGCAAGAAGCCCUGACUUGAUGCAUAAACAUAUUUCUCUGUUUGAUUGAAGGCCUCUAUCUGGCUCUUUUUUUUUGCCUCGUAACGGAAUUGCUUCGAGGAAAAAGAUAAGGAACAACACAUGGAUGGAUAUGAGCUAGCUGCUAGUUUAAAGCAAUGGAAGAUCUAAUUGUUACAAAGAAUGAAUGUAUAGGUUACAUUUAGGAGAAUAAUGUAUGCGUUACUUUAUCAAGCUUGAAGACCGUACAUUCAUUUAUUACAACAGUAGGAAGUGUUAUGAGUGAGUGCACCACAAACAUCUUUCCAGGAUGCUGCUGCAGCCUCCUCUAGGUACAGUCUAUUCCACCACCACGGGUAGGGGAAGGGGAUCCAUCUGUAAAAGUCCCGUUUUGUUUUGUUUUGCAGUUCGCUACACCCACAAUAACAUCUGUUAAACAUGUGUAUGUGACCAAUAAAAUUUGAUUUGA
Non-coding RNA from Oncorhynchus mykiss (rainbow trout), 2957 nucleotides. The record is from RefSeq and is a predicted model, not a curated record. Lineage: Eukaryota; Metazoa; Chordata; Actinopteri; Salmoniformes; Salmonidae.